GGUACAAAUAGCAUCAUCGACAAAAGGACAAGGGUCAAAAAGGCCUAGAAGCGAAGGAAUUCCAGAGUUCAUGAUCGCAGAUACUAUACCAAAAGAUUUAUGGCAAUGGUGCACAGACAUGGGAAGUCAUGAGAAAAAAAGAGUAAAGGAACACUUGGGGCAUUUAGUGCAUCUUAUGGAGAUUGACCCUAGAAGGGAUGUGGUCGAGGCAUUGAUUCCUUUUUGGGAUCCCAGAAAUAAUGUAUUUUGUUUUUCUGACU
Molecule: unclassified non-coding RNA, 260 nt
Filed under: Hevea brasiliensis (rubber tree)
Lineage: Eukaryota; Viridiplantae; Streptophyta; Magnoliopsida; Malpighiales; Euphorbiaceae
Source: RNAcentral